UACGUAGGGUGCAAGCGUUAAUCGGAAUUACUGGGCGUAAAGCGUGCGCAGGCGGUUAUGCAAGACAGAUGUGAAAUCCCCGGGCUCAACCUGGGAACUGCAUUUGUGACUGCAUAGCUAGAGUACGGUAGAGGGGGAUGGAAUUCCGCGUGUAGCAGUGAAAUGCGUAGAUAUCUGGAGGAACACCGGUGGCGAAGGCGGCAUCCUGGACCAACACUGACGCUGAGUGAGCGAAAGCCAGGGGAGCAAACGGG
This 254-nucleotide ribosomal RNA is filed under the name uncultured bacterium. RNAcentral describes it as "partial 16S ribosomal RNA". It matches the Rfam family "Bacterial small subunit ribosomal RNA", at positions 524 to 776 of the family's 1533-position model. The record is from RNAcentral.